Molecule: transfer RNA, 67 nt
Filed under: Bacillus atrophaeus
Lineage: Bacteria; Bacillati; Bacillota; Bacilli; Caryophanales; Bacillaceae
Description: tRNA-Asp
Rfam family: tRNA
About the family: Transfer RNA (tRNA) molecules are approximately 80 nucleotides in length. Their secondary structure includes four short double-helical elements and three loops (D, anti-codon, and T loops).
Source: RNAcentral
CCGGUAGUUCAGUUGGUUAGAAUGCCUGCCUGUCACGCAGGAGGUCGCGGGUUCGAGUCCCGUCCGG